GACGAACGCUGGCGGCGUGCUUAACACGUGCAAGUCGAACGGAAAGGCCCUGCUUUUGUGGGGUGCUCGAGUGGCGAACGGGUGAGUAACACGUGAGUAACCUGCCCUUGACUUUGGGAUAACUUCAGGAAACUGGGGCUAAUACCGGAUAGGAGCUCCUGCUGCAUGGUGGGGGUUGGAAAGUUUCGGCGGUUGGGGAUGGACUCGCGGCUUAUCAGCUUGUUGGUGGGGUAGUGGCUUACCAAGGCUUUGACGGGUAGCCGGCCUGAGAGGGUGACCGGCCACAUUGGGACUGAGAUACGGCCCAGACUCCUACGGGAGGCAGCAGUGGGGAAUAUUGCACAAUGGGCGGAAGCCUGAUGCAGCAACGCCGCGUGCGGGAUGACGGCCUUCGGGUUGUAAACCGCUUUCGCCUGUGACGAAGCGUGAGUGACGGUAAUGGGUAAAGAAGCACCGGCUAACUACGUGCCAGCAGCCGCGGUGAUACGUANGGUGCGAGCGUUGUCCCGAUUUAUUGGGCGUAAAGGGCUCGUAGGUGGUUGAUCGCGUCGGAAGUGUAAUCUUGGGGCUUAACCCUGAGCGUGCUUUCGAUACGGGUUGACUUGAGGAAGGUAGGGGAGAAUGGAAUUCCUGGUGGAGCGGUGGAAUGCGCAGAUAUCAGGAGGAACACCAGUGGCGAAGGCGGUUCUCUGGGCCUUUCCUGACGCUGAGGAGCGAAAGCGUGGGGAGCGAACAGGCUUAGAUACCCUGGUAGUCCACGCUGUAAACGGUGGGUACUAGGUGUGGGGUCCAUUCCACGGGUUCCGUGCCGUAGCUAACGCUUUAAGUACCCCGCCUGGGGAGUACGGCCGCAAGGCUAAAACUCAAAGGAAUUGACGGGGCCCCGCACAAGCGGCGGAGCAUGCGGAUUAAUUCGAUGCAACGCGUAGAACCUUACCUGGGUUUGACAUGGAUCGGGAGUGCUCAGAGAUGGGUGUGCCUCUUUUGGGGUCGGUUCACAGGUGGUGCAUGGCUGUCGUCAGCUCGUGUCGUGAGAUGUUGGGUUAAGUCCCGCAACGAGCGCAACCCUUGUUCACUGUUGCCAGCACGUUAUGGUGGGGACUCAGUGGAGACCGCCGGGGUCAACUUGGAGGAAGGUGGGGAUGACGUCAAGUCAUCAUGCCCCUUAUGUCCAGGGCUUCACGCAUGCUACAAUGGCUGGUACAGAGAGUGGCGAGCCUGUGAGGGUGAGCGAAUCUCGGAAAGCCGGUCUCAGUUCGGAUUGGGGUCUGCAACUCGACCUCAUGAAGUCGGAGUCGCUAGUAAUCGCAGAUCAGCAACGCUGCGGUGAAUACGUUCCCGGG
Molecule: ribosomal RNA, 1343 nt
Filed under: uncultured bacterium
Lineage: Bacteria
Description: 16S ribosomal RNA
Rfam family: Bacterial small subunit ribosomal RNA
Source: RNAcentral